CCUACGGGAGGCAGCAGUGAGGAAUAUUGGUCAAUGUGCGCGAGCCUGAACCAGCCAAGUAGCGUGAAGGAUGACUGCCCUACGGGUUGUAAACUUCUUGUCUCAUGGAAUGAAGUGAGACACGUGUGACUUUUUGUCUGUACUUUAUGCAUAAGGAUCGGCUAACUCCGUGACAUCAGCCUCGGUAAUACGGAGGAUCCGAGCGUUAUCUGGAUUUAUUGGUGUUAAAGGGAGCGUAGAUGGGUUGUUAAGUCAGUGGUGAAAGUUUGCGGCUCAACCGUAAAAUUGCAAUUGAUACUGGCAGUCGUGAGUACAGUUGAGGUAGGCGGAAUUCGUGGUGGAGCGGUGAAAUGCUUAGAUAUCACGAAGAACUCCGAUUGCAAAGGCAGCUUACUAAACUGCCACUGACAUUGAUGCUCGAAAGUGUGGGUAUCAAACAGGAUUAGAUACCCCGGUAGUC
This 460-nucleotide ribosomal RNA is filed under the name uncultured bacterium. RNAcentral's name for it is "partial 16S ribosomal RNA". It matches the Rfam family "Bacterial small subunit ribosomal RNA", at positions 338 to 795 of the family's 1533-position model. The record is from RNAcentral.